RNAcentral lists this unclassified non-coding RNA (466 nucleotides) under uncultured fungus. RNAcentral's name for it is "sequence contains ITS2". The record is from RNAcentral. Lineage: Eukaryota; Fungi.
AACGCAUAUUGCACCCUCUGGUAUUCCGGGGGGUAUGCCUGUUUGAGAACCGCCAAUAACUCUCGCAAAACUGGAUAUGAUCUCCUUGGAGAUCAUGCCCAGCAAGCGGAUUUGGGUUUUCCCUCAGACGCGCUCAGCGUGUUUUCUGGGAUCGUCCGAAAUGCAGCGACUGGGGCCUUGCGUGCUGAAAGGGUUUUCUCUCAACAGUACUAGCUCUUUGACAAAACGACGUGGAUUAAUGGGUCUUUGUGCCUUUUCUCAACGUCCUUGAAAUUGAGCUGUGGAAACCAAGAGAAUUCAUCCCAAACUUUUCGGCUAUACCUAUAAGGUGGACGCGGGUAUACAGCUUCUUCUUAACAUGCCAGGCAAUGGGGAGUCUCUCUCUCUCUUUUUUGAGAAUGAGAGCCCUUGUUGUACACCUGUUUAUUUUGGUCUCAAAUCAAGCAAGACGACCCGCUGAACUUAA